This 345-nucleotide unclassified non-coding RNA is filed under the name soil metagenome. RNAcentral's name for it is "partial contains 5.8S ribosomal RNA, internal transcribed spacer 2, and large subunit ribosomal RNA". The stretch from base 1 to 120 matches the Rfam family "5.8S ribosomal RNA", at positions 35 to 154 of the family's 154-position model. The record is from RNAcentral.
GAUGAAGAACGCAGCGAAAUGCGAUAAGUAAUGUGAAUUGCAGAAUUCCGUGAAUCAUCGAAUCUUUGAACGCACAUUGCGCCCUCUGGUAUUCCGGGGGGCAUGCCUGUCCGAGCGUCAUUUGCAACCCUCAAGCCCGGCUUGUGUGAUGGGUGCCGUCCCCUACGGGACGCGCCCCGAAGGCAAUGGCGGCGUCGCGGUUAUCCGAUCAGCCAAAGUGUAUGGGGCUCUGUCACUCACUUUACGGCCCGGACCGGCGCCAGUCCGAAUCAAUCUUUUUUCUAAAGUUGACCUCGGAUCAGGUAGGGAUACCCGCUGAACUUAAGCAUAUCAAUAAGCGGAGGA